RNAcentral lists this ribosomal RNA (519 nucleotides) under uncultured Phaeobacter sp. RNAcentral's name for it is "bacterial SSU rRNA". It matches the Rfam family "Bacterial small subunit ribosomal RNA", at positions 468 to 983 of the family's 1533-position model. Lineage: Bacteria; Pseudomonadati; Pseudomonadota; Alphaproteobacteria; Rhodobacterales; Roseobacteraceae. The record is from RNAcentral.
AAUGACAGUACCUGGUAAAGAAGUCCCGGCUAACUCCGUGCCAGCAGCCGCGGUAAUACGGAGGGGACUAGCGUUGUUCGGAAUUACUGGGCGUAAAGCGCACGUAGGCAGACCAGAAAGUAAGAGGUGAAAUCCCAGGGCUCAACCCUGGAACUGCCUUUUAAACUCCUGGUCUAGAGUUCUAGAGACGUGAGUGGAAUUCCCAGUGUAGAGGUGAAAUUCGCAGAUAUUCGGAGGAACACCAGUGGCGAACGCGGCUCACUGGCUCGAUACUGACCCUGAGGUGCGAAAGUGUGGGGAGCACACGGGAUUACAUACCCUGGUAGUCCCCACCGUACACGAUGAAUGCCAGUCGUCGGGUACCACGCUAUUCGGUGACCCACCUAAUGGAUUAUGCAUUCCGCCCGGGGGAGUACGGUCGCAAGAUUAAAACUCUAAAGGAAUUGGCGGUGGCCCGCCAAAUCCGGGGGAGCAAGGCGGGUUAAUUCAAACCAACCGUUAAAACCUUACAAACCCUUG